UGGGGAAUAUUGCACAAUGGGGGAAACCCUGAUGCAGCGACGCCGCGUGAGUGAAGAAGUAUUUCGGUAUGUAAAGCUCUGUCAGCAGGGAAGAAAGAAAUGACGGUACCUGACCAAGAAGCCCCGGCUAACUACGUGCCAGCAGCCGCGGUAAUACGUAGGGGGCAAGCGUUAUCCGGAAUUACUGGGUGUAAAGGGAGCGUAGACGGUGAUGCAAGUCUGGAGUGAAAGGCGGGGGCCCAACCCCCGGACUGCUCUGGAAACUGUGUAACUUGAGUGCAGGAGAGGUAAGCGGAAUUCCUAGUGUAGCGGUGAAAUGCGUAGAUAUUAGGAGGAACACCAGUGGCGAAGGCGGCUUACUGGACUGUAACUGACGUUGAGGCUCGAAAGCGUGGGGAGCAAACAGG
This 407-nucleotide ribosomal RNA is filed under the name uncultured bacterium. Its description in RNAcentral is "bacterial SSU rRNA". It matches the Rfam family "Bacterial small subunit ribosomal RNA", at positions 355 to 776 of the family's 1533-position model. The record is from RNAcentral.